Molecule: unclassified non-coding RNA, 8289 nt
Organism: Vespa mandarinia (Asian giant hornet)
Lineage: Eukaryota; Metazoa; Arthropoda; Insecta; Hymenoptera; Vespidae
Source: RefSeq, a predicted model, not a curated record
GAAUGGAUGUACGCGCGAGUUUCGUUCUGUCAUGGAUAUUAUCGGACGGUGUGUCAUAGCUUUGUCCGAGCAUCGUCGUCGCGCUCGUCUACGUGCUCGUCGUCAUCGACGUCGUCGGCGUCGUCGUCGUUCUUAUUGUUAAAGACUCAUAGCGCCUCCACGGGGCGUUUACGCGAUCCACACGAAAUUCACGAUUCUGCUUUCGUGCUUGUCUUUUUUUUUUUUUUUCUGUUUUUUUCUUAUCUGCACCGAGUGGCUGCAUCGAGUGAAACAGACGGAAAGAACGUCGGCAGGAGGGAGGGGAGAGAGAGAGAGAGAGAGAGCGCGAGAGGCUUCUCCGUGAUUUCGUUCCAUCGUCCACGUGCUUUCGCGGCUUAAGCAAGAGAUUCUCAAGUGACGGGUGCGGCGGUGAAAGAGUGGAAAGGGAAAGAGGGGGUUUGGCUUGAUCUCUCUCUCUUUCUCUUUCUCUCUCUUUCUAUGCCGGAAGGUGGGGUAAGAGUGGGGGGAGAGCCAGUACCGCCGUCGACCUUAGGAGUUGAGCGGUCGUUUCGUUGCAUCGCGUUUAGUGCGUGUCCGUCAGUGCGCGAGUCAAUGACGACGUCGUGAACGCGCGAGACCGCGCGUGCUCGUGCGACGACGCGCGUUUCCCGCGACGUCGAGAGAGAGAGAGAGAGAGAGAGAGAGAGAAAAGAGAGAGAGAGAGAGAGAGAGAGAGAGAGAGAGAGAGCAGAGAAGAUAAAGAAAAAAAGGUGGGGAAUCGCGGAGAGAAGAAUAAAGGAAACCAAGAACGCCGCGAAGCAUCCAUCGAAUCGUUUUUGAUCACACGGCACGUUUGCGUGCCCAAAUUCACACGCAUAUAGACACACACAUAGAACGAACGGAUAAGGUGCACUUCGUUCACUCCUACGUUUAUUCUCGAGGAUAUUAGAAUUCGUCUUGCUUGGUGUUUUUCGAAUAAUCUCUUUUAAGAGCGUGACACGUUUAGAGGAAGCCCAGGCGGGAAUUUCAAAAGGCGCCAAAGUGAUUCGAAACGUAGGUUAGGGGGCGAUACUUUCGGGUUAAGGGGGUCCGCGAAAGUGACGCGAAGUUGUCGCGAAUCCCGAGGAGGGUGUUAAGACGGUCAAAGGAUAGCGACGGAGAUCGAUAGAAAAUCUAAGAAAAUAGAAAAAAGGCAAAAACUUUGAGGAGCGAAACGAGUAAAUGGAACGAUGUCGUUGCUAGUGUUGCUAUUUUUAUCGGCCGAUAAUAAUCGUCGUCCUCGUCGUCGAUAAGUCGUCGUGCUCGCGUCAGUGUGUCGCGAUGUCGAGCGGCACGACGGGCGUCGUGCGUGCUACCGGCGCCGAGUGCAGGAAGUUCGCACCAAACAUAUUCAACAAGAGCAAGUGCAGCAGCUGCUUCAAGCAGAAAGAGGAGCACAGUGCGGAGGCUCUGGAAUGCAAUAGGGCUACAAGAAAGAUUUCAAAAUGUGGAUACCUCUUCGUCGCACCCGGCUGGGACUUUUCGAAUCCUCUCAACCGUACAAAGAGAUGGCAAAGAAGAUGGUUCGUCCUUUACGACGACGGAGAGUUGACUUAUUCGGUCGACGAGCACCCAGAAACUGUGCCACAAGCACGGAUCGACAUGACACGAGUCCUGGAGGUCGCAGCCGCGGAGGAUAUCACCGGGCAUCCCUAUAGCCUGGCCGUGACCUCGCCCGAAGGCGUGACGUUCGUUAAGGGCACGUGUCGAGAGGAAACGAGAUGGUGGGCCGACGUUCUCCAGGUGUAUUCGCGAAACAAAGGUCGACACAAACGAAACGCCACGUUUCCUGGCAGCCAAACGACGAUCCUCCAAGUUACACCGGCGAUUCGAAGUAACACGCCGAAUCCACCUCGACCGCGCUUCAAUAGCUGCCGAUCAGAACCUCGAAGCAAUGCCAUGUGGAUUACGGAAACAACUAGCGGCUCGUCGGAACUUUGCUCUUCCGUAUUUUCGUCGACACCUUCUUCGGUCACUACCAGCGUGUCGACGAUGACGAGUUGCUCGACGAAUUCUCUUCUGAGUAAUGGUAACGUGGACAGCAACAACGUUUCGCCACUGCGAAGCAGUACUCCUUUGGAGAACGGUACGAACGGCCCUUAUUUAACGUCGUCUUCGUCGUCGUCGUCGUCGUCGUCGUCGUCGUCGUCGGCAGCAGCCACGUCGGUUUCCAUGAACGGAAACGUCGUAUCCGUGAGCACGGCUUACACGACGACACCAACGAGCACCGUCGUCGUGUCCGCCUCGAAUACGACGAUCUCGAGCACGUUGUCCAGCAGCGGUUCUAGCACGACUUUAACCGAGAAACCACCAAUGAUACCAAGCGAAGUUAGAUCAAUGUACAGGGAUCAACCCGCCAGUGGAUCGUCUCCGCCCACUAGAGACAAAUUGUGCGCCGAAGACAAGGCUAGACGUAGGUCGAAUCAUCAACAGGGAGAACAUGGAUCCAAUGAGAAGUUAGAUGACGACGCUUGUCGAAGAAUAUUCUUAGAACACGAGAGAGAACGGGAAGGUAAAUUACGGGAUAUUGCCGCAUCAUUGACUCAACCGCGAAUUCGCAGAAUCAAGCCUAGAAACUCCGAGCCAACGAGGGACGUAGUCGAUGCCUCUAAUGCGGUUCAUCGAGACAAACUCGUAAGGGGCGAUCCCGAUGGUUGCGGAUUAGAUAUUUCCAGCAUUAGAUAUUCGCCUACCUCCGAAUUGAGGGUCGAUUUACCGGCGGAAAAUGUACUAAACAUUAAGAAGGGUUGGCUAAUGAAGCAAGGUUUAAAUAAGGAGUGGAACAAGCAUUGGUUCGUUUUACGAGGUUGUGGCCUGAUGUACUAUAGAGAUCCUUGCGCGGAGGACAAGGGCAUCAUGGAUGGCGUUAUAGACUUGAAUACCGUUACUGCGGUUACGCCGUUGCAGGUCGCAAGAAAUUAUGGAUUUCAAACCGUGGCCUGGGACGAAAGAGGUAGCACCGUCUUAUCCGCGGUGACGGCCGGCAUUAGAUCCAGCUGGAUGUCGGCUAUUAGAAGAGCGGCUAAUCUGCCCGAUCCCGAUAGCAAUGGGGAGUCGUUGCCGAUAUGCUCGGACAAUCAACAGGAUAUUAAUUCUCAAUCACCGACAACGUCCAUCAACGAUCGCGAAAGGGAUCCCGUAAUUCCUCCGACGUCGAAUACGCCUCGAUCGGUCCUAUUUUCCUCCGACGAAGAAUACAGAACUGCAUCGGAGGGCGGACGAAGAGAAUCCGGUGACUGGUCGGAAAUUCCGGUUUCGCCGCCUCUUAUUAGAAACGGCGAUUGGUCUUUACCUUUGAAAGGAUCAAACUGGUCCGACACGACGAAUCACGAGUGGUCGGAAUUACCACCGUCGCCGCCAUUGACGAGAACGGCUCUAUCGAGGGUUAAAGCGAGAUCGAGGUCCAGUUCGAGAUCACGCGUUUACAAGAGGAGUCGUAGCUCACCCCCGAGUUCCCGACGAAGCACCCUGGACAGCGUAAGAUCGGAGGACCUUAUGAUGGCCUGCUGCGAGUUAGGAGAAGACGAGGAGCAAAGCAAUGGGCACGUUCAAAGCAAUAGCCGUCUCUCCGGUUCGAACGACAGUCCCUUGAUCGUCGAACUCUUGGAGAAUCAAGUUUCCCUAUUACGCGAUCAACUCGAUCACAAUCAGUCCCAUCCAAGCGCACUGCUAGUCAUCGUCGAGCGUCAAGAAAAUGAGAUAGAGAAAUUAAAGUCACAAUUGAGUACAGCGCGAUUGGACGUGGCCAACGCCGAGAAAGAAUUAUCAAGAUUGAGACAGCAAAAGGCAGAGGCGGUGAUCAGGGAAAAACAGGUGGAAGAAUUACUCGGUACGAUACAGAGAACGGAACAACAAAGGAACAAGGAUCUCGACGAUUUGGAAAAAUUGAAAAAAGUUUAUACGAGGGAGAAGGAGAUACUAGAAUGCAAAUUAUUGGAAACCGAGGCUAUUCUUAGAGAGACGAGCGAACGAUGCGAGAUGCUUACGAACGAGUUGACUUCGAGUCACAGAAACGUCCAACGUUUGCAGGAAGAGGUGCAGGCACUUGGCGAAAGACUCUCUCAAGGUAUCGAAGAAAACGAACGACUGUACAAUAGAGUCAGAGAGCUGGAAGAAAGGGGUGGCCUUCCCGGAUCGCGAGAACGAGGUAGAAGCUUCGAUUCUCUUAGCGAUCUGACCAACAUCGAUUUGGACAUGGAUCUCAAUAUGUUGGACAAGGAGAGGGUCGUAGAAGAGUACGAAGAGUUGAGAGUUCGAUUCGAGAAGGCCAUAUCCGAGAUACGUGCGAUGCGUAAAGAAUUGCGCGAAGCCCACUCGACGCAGGAUGCAUUGGAAUUGGAGAUUUUUGCUUAUAAGCAGGAUGCCAUCGGUGUUAGCGAAACGAAUCAAGCGCAGGUACAAUUGAUGGCAGCUCGUAUUCAGGAUUUGACCAACAAGCUCGCCGCCAGCGAGAAACAAGUUAGAACGCUUAAGCAGAAAUUGACGAAGGCGGAAACCAGGGACAAGAGGAGAUCGCUCUCCUUGAAGGGAAGGGAAUCUUUUCAGAUAUCUCAGGAAAUGGAGGAUAAGCUUUGCGACUUGGAGAAUAAGAUUUGCGCUAUAGAACGCGGUGGUAAGGGCUGCGGCGUUGGUUCGAAUUCGAAGGAGUCGAGUCCGAAUUCGAAGAAGGAGAAGAAGAAGGAGGGGAAACAUUUGGAUCGCGCUAGAUUGCGCAGAAAGUCGUUGGACAGUGCCACCAGUUCGGAACCUAUGAAGGUGUUGAUCAGAUUGAGCACGUUGGAGACCAAAGUCGCGAGCGUGGCCGAAAAUAUGGCGAGCGACGUCGAGAAAGACUCCAGCGAAUGCAGCGAGGUCAGCGCGACUUCCGUUGGCAACGAGAUCCCCUUGGAAUUUCUCUCGAGAUUGAAGAAAUUGGAGAGAGCCGUGUGGAAGUCGAAGCGACGAUUGGAAAAGUGUUUGGGCUCGACCCAAACUGAGGACAAGGCGGAGAAGUGCUUGCGCGAGGUCAACGACAUAUUGGACUCGUGCUUAGAGUGUAAGAAGGGCCAAGUCGGUGGUGGUCAAAUCGGCGAGUCGAUAGGAGUAGUGGUAUGUAGACUAGAGGCUAUACUUAAGGAUAAAUUAAGCGAACUCACGAAGAGACGGCAGACGCUCGCGUCGAACGACCGGUUGGACGACAGGGAGAAAGUAAAGUUGAUCGCCGAAAGGAUAGCCUUCGAAUCCGUGAUUCUUGGACGAUUGAAGCGGGCGAUCGGCGGUGGUACCUUAGGCGACAAGAGCGCCGUUCUCGGUGAAUUGCUCGAAACUAGUCAGCUUGCCUCAAGCUUAAAGCAUAAGAUUCAUGGAACCAAGCCCAAAACGUACCAAAACACGAAUUACGUUCAGUAUCUUUCUAGGGUCUUAGCUAAUAAGUUAGUGCUCGUAGGAGGCGUUCUCCCUGUUAAAACGGAGGCGUCGCUUCAACUUUGCAACGCUCGAGCCGAGUGCUUGAACUUUUUGUUGCAAAAGCAAAAGGAAGUCGACGGUAUCGUCGGACGUUACAAGGAAACGAAAUUGAGAGAGCUGGCGGAGGCCUUGGCGAUCGAGACGCUUAAUCUCUCGGAUCAGGAGGAUCAUCAUCUCGCCAAGCAAAUAAACGUGUCGAGCAAGAAAUUGCUCGAGGAUAAGCGUAUUCGCGAGGCUUGGGCUCUUGCCCAGGAGACCGUCAAUAAGGAGCUCGUGCAAAGCGAGGUGUCGCGCGUUAUAUUGCACUGCGCGCAGAUCUACGAACAGGAUAUCGCGUCCGUCCUUGACACUUGUCUAAGCUUCAACGAGGCUGGAUCCGUAGGUUUGGAGAAUUGGGCGGACGAAACGCGAACGAAAUUACGCAAAGAGAUUCAAUUGUCCGUAGAGGAACUCUCGGAGGUUUACGAGGAUACUCUUCGUACGAUGAAGCGUAACAAGGGCCUCGUAAGUACCAUCUCGGAAUACGAUUCUCAUAGACUUUUGACGGAUUACGCCGACGUGAUCGCGCACAAAGCUUUAAUAGAUGCCAGAAUAGCUCUUCUCCAGAAGAGCACGAAACCGUCGACCUCUUUCAACAACAACAACAACGGUCAAAGCGGUCAGAAUUUUCUAUCUAGUCUUAUUAAAAACGAGGACCUUCUCUAUCACUUGACCGAGGAUAACAACUCUGGUAAAUUCGAUAACGAUCUCGUUCUCGAGGCAGAGUGCAAUUAUCUUUAUCGACAGUUUGCCGAGGAAUGCGAGGAUAGGAUAUCCGGUAGGCAGGAGUCGAAGGAACGAAUUAAAACGAUAGGACAAAAUUUAUUAUAUCUCGAGGAGGACAUAAGCGGACUCGCCAAAGUUAUAAAAGAAAGGGCGGUGGGAGGAGAAAAGGCGGCUAAGACGAUCUGUCAGUUUGAACGUUCGAGCAACGGACUCGCGGAUUGGACGAACGUUUGCGAAAAGUGUUCGCAAUUAAGAGAGCAAAUCAAAAGACUCGCCGCUUACGUCGAUCUUAUGUCCUGCAAACAGUGCGAGGAACUGCAGGAGACCAUAGAGAGGCUAACGGCUCAACACGAGGAAGAGCUGGAAACGCUCAAGAGAAAUCAGGAGAAGGAUAUAAUGGACAUAAAGGGUGAACUCGACAGUCAAAGGCAAUCCCUUACGACGCAGUACGAGCAAGAAGCGGCUAGUCUGCGAGAAAGGGCGAGAAAAUUGGAGUACAGAUUGAACGCAAUGGAUUCCGAACAUUCUGCUCACGUCAACGAGCUACGUGCCGUUUAUCAGAGAUCCAUAAGCGCCGAACUCGAUACCGAUGCCGAGACGAGAAAAAGAUACAAGGAGGAGAUCAAACAGCUCAGGGCACUUUGCGAAAAAGGAUUGUUGGCCAUGGAGAAUUCACACCGACGUAUUAUUUCAGAAAUGGAGGAAAAGCAUCGGCAGGAAUUGGAAAAUUUGAGAGUCGAGAAGGAGCAAGCACUCUCGGAAGAGACCCAAGCGACUUUGGCCGCAUUAGAUGCCAUGAGAAAGGCGCACGAGCACGAGGUACAAAAGGAGAUUGCCAAGUUCAAGCAGGAAUUCAUCAAGCAGAUGCAAGCUCGAGAGGAUAUCGGUGAACUGCAUAAAGAACACGAGGAAGAAAUGGAGGAAAUAAAGCAAGAAAUUCUUUCAUUGUCUGCCAAAUAUUCAUCGAAAUGCGUCGAGUCUGCCGCUUUGGAGGAAAAAGUAGGUACUCUUACGAAGCAACUUGCACAAGCGCAACAGCAUAUAAUGCAGCUAGACGCUAGGAACAAGCAGCUGAGGGCGCACUUUCUGGUGGAAUGUAGCGACGCUGGUAUCAAUGAUACUAUUCAGAUUUUAAAAAGCGGAGAGAAUGACACAGUCGAACCGAAGGAGGAACUUUACAAGCUACCACAGCACAUAAAACAUGGGGACACCCUUCGUGAAACGACCGGUGUACCACAGAAAUCUUCGUCACUAAACACCUCGCCAGCGUACUCACCGCAACGUGUAAGAAAUAAUCACGAGUCGAUGCAAGGAACGAGCGAGGAGCAGAAAUUAACGAGCGAACGCCCAAAAAGCUCCUUAUCCACGCUUCAAAAGUCCCUUUCGGCGGAUAAACCGAGCAGCUUCUCGUACAAGCUCGAACGAAUUAAAUCCAUAUCGUUGCCUUACUCGAAUAAUUUAGUUAGGCCGGGGAGUAGUACUGCUAUUUCAUCGCACGAUAGGAAAAAUACGAUCUUAACUCAAAAGAACGAAGAACAUAAUGGUAUAGCAUCGCCAUUAUGGGACAGCUUAAGACCAAGGAGCGGAUUGCCCCAUCAGUAUCAAGAAAUCGAAGUUGUAUCUCUAUGUCCAUGUAUACGCUUCUACGUGGAAUCGUAGCUCUUACUUGGCCAAUCUUUAACCGUUCGAGUGACGCUUAUAUCGGAAUAUAAUACAGGGGAUAUAGUAGGGGAUAGAAUUAAUUGUGAUGUUUGACGUAAAAUAGAACGGAGAACGCAUUUUGACGUAGAAAUACAGGUACGAUUCCCUGCAUUAUCCUGGACACGAUAAGAAUGUGGAAAUAAUUGUAUGUAAUAUUUAAUCCAGCAGUUGGUACGAUUAAUAAGGUAUCCGAGCAUAUAACUGAUAUCCCUUGGAAAGGUGGCACAGCAGAGAUGCGAAUCAACGGUACUGGCAGUCGGAAACAGGCGGACAAACAAAGUGAAAAACAGCAACAAUCGGAGACAUAUACCCUCCGUACCGACACUCGUCACCCAUCCUACCUCAGCCCGGAACCCCCAG